Molecule: ribosomal RNA, 460 nt
Filed under: uncultured bacterium
Lineage: Bacteria
Description: bacterial SSU rRNA
Rfam family: Bacterial small subunit ribosomal RNA
Source: RNAcentral
AUUGAACGCUGGCGGCAUGCCUUACACAUGCAAGUCGAACGGUAACGGGCCUUCGGGUGCCGACGAGUGGCGAACGGGUGAGUAAUGUAUCGGAACGUACCUUUCAGUGGGGGAUAACGUAGCGAAAGUUACGCUAAUACCGCAUAUUCUGUGAGCAGGAAAGCAGGGGAUCGCAAGACCUUGCGCUGAUUGAGCGGCCGAUAUCAGAUUAGCUAGUUGGUGAGGUAAAGGCUCACCAAGGCGACGAUCUGUAGCGGGUCUGAGAGGAUGAUCCGCCACACUGGAACUGAGACACGGUCCAGACUCCUACGGGAGGCAGCAGUGGGGAAUUUUGGGCAAUGGGGGAGACCCUGACCCAGCGACGCCGCGUGAGGGACGAAGGCCCUUGGGUCGUAAACCUCUUUUGCAGGGGAAGAAGCGAGUGACGGUACCUUGCGAAGAAGUCCCGGCUAACUACGUG